This 586-nucleotide ribosomal RNA is filed under the name Purpureocillium lilacinum. Its description in RNAcentral is "eukaryotic LSU rRNA". The stretch from base 244 to 397 matches the Rfam family "5.8S ribosomal RNA". The record is from RNAcentral. Lineage: Eukaryota; Fungi; Ascomycota; Sordariomycetes; Hypocreales; Ophiocordycipitaceae.
GGAAGUAAAAGUCGUAACAAGGUCUCCGUUGGUGAACCAGCGGAGGGAUCAUUACCGAGUUAUACAACUCCCAAACCCACUGUGAACCUUACCUCAGUUGCCUCGGCGGGAACGCCCCGGCCGCCUGCCCCCGCGCCGGCGCCGGACCCAGGCGCCCGCCGCAGGGACCCCAAACUCUCUUGCAUUACGCCCAGCGGGCGGAAUUUCUUCUCUGAGUUGCACAAGCAAAAACAAAUGAAUCAAAACUUUCAACAACGGAUCUCUUGGUUCUGGCAUCGAUGAAGAACGCAGCGAAAUGCGAUAAGUAAUGUGAAUUGCAGAAUUCAGUGAAUCAUCGAAUCUUUGAACGCACAUUGCGCCCGCCAGCAUUCUGGCGGGCAUGCCUGUUCGAGCGUCAUUUCAACCCUCGAGCCCCCCCCGGGGGCCUCGGUGUUGGGGGACGGCACACCAGCCGCCCCCGAAAUGCAGUGGCGACCCCGCCGCAGCCUCCCCUGCGUAGUAGCACACACCUCGCACCGGAGCGCGGAGGCGGUCACGCCGUAAAACGCCCAACUUUCUUAGAGUUGACCUCGGAUCAGGUAGGAAU